This 912-nucleotide unclassified non-coding RNA is filed under the name Hevea brasiliensis (rubber tree). Lineage: Eukaryota; Viridiplantae; Streptophyta; Magnoliopsida; Malpighiales; Euphorbiaceae. The record is from RNAcentral.
AAUUACCAUGGGAGCCGAUCUGUUUUUGGUGUGUAUUGUAAGAGAGAAAGAGAGGGUUGGAGGAAGUUCAUGGAGAUGGGUGGCUGGGCAAGAAGAAAAAAAAGGCUUUGUCUAAUCUCGGGUCAUCGUCUUGCCUACGCCACCCAUUCCAUCCACUUCCUUCAAUUUCUCCCUUUCUCUUUCAGAUCUAUGUAAACACAUGAAUAGAGAGAGGAUAAGAGGGAAAGGGAGAGGGUUGCUGGGAGUUAUGGGUAUGGGGGGAUUGGGCAUGAUUGCUUGCUUUGUUCAAAAGCAUAGACUAGCUAAUUUUUCCCGAGACCUCCCAUACCAGUGAUCUCCAGCUGUUUCCUUCCCUUCCCUAGCUUGUUCUUGGUUUUGUUUUAUCAACUGCUACACCAAGUCUGGUAAGAUCUGUCCUGUCUACUUUGUUUUUUUUGUUAAUUUAUUUUGGUUGUGUUUGAUAUUUUAGCUUGUUUUAGAUUAAUGAAGCCUGGAUCUGUUGAUCAAUGGAUGGAUCUGGGUCUAUAGUGGUUGAAGCACCAACAAAUUUCAGCAUCUGUUAAAAGUAUACUCCUGUGGGUUUUCAGUGCCUUUACUCUGUGAAAUCAACUCUCAGAGGAGUUCUUACUUUUGGCAAGAGUAACUUCGAUGAAAAAUAUGAAGUCUCUUUGGUGGACUUCACAGAGACUGAUGAGCUUGUUCUUAAUCUGGUGUUUUUGGGUUGCUGCUGAAAUCUACAAAAAAAAAAAAAAGAAGUAAUAAUAAUAAAAUAAAAUAAAAUGUAAAAGAAUUAAGAUUAACAAAAGGUCAUCAAUUAAUUAUAUUUUGUUUAAUUUGUCGUAUUUUGUAAUAAAUAAAAUUGUAAUCGGGGAAAGAAGAAAAUCUUACCUGGUUUUUUAAGAUUUGCAAAAC